RNAcentral lists this long non-coding RNA (425 nucleotides) under Homo sapiens (human). RNAcentral's name for it is "non-protein coding lnc-PIGF-3:3". The record is from RNAcentral. Lineage: Eukaryota; Metazoa; Chordata; Mammalia; Primates; Hominidae.
UGCGUUUUCAUCACCCCAAGUUGGCAAGUUACUCAAAGGAUACGUGAGGGUUUGGGAACUCUCCUUGGUUUCCUGGGCACUGGGAAGCCCAGGCUUCUCUAAUCACUGGGAAGCGAGACGAUUUAGCCUCACAAUUAGCAAACAUUUGCUAAAUGCAACUAGGUGCCCUGUUCUGGCUGCAGGCCAAGCUCCGUGCCAGGUUUCAUCUUACUUCAUUCUGAUUAUCGACAUCUCACUGCCGAGGAAACAGACUUGCAGACACCGAUGAGAAAACUUAGGAGCCAGCUGGGGAGGGAGGACUGGCCCAAAGUCACAGUCAACAGGAGGAAGCGGCGCGCGCCUAGCUACGCAAAACCGCAGGAUGGAAAAACGCAGAGCAGAACGCACCCUGACCUGGCAGAGCAUCUGUAGUGGAGAGAAUGGGA